Molecule: ribosomal RNA, 803 nt
Filed under: Acinetobacter sp. 'SMCC B0448'
Lineage: Bacteria; Pseudomonadati; Pseudomonadota; Gammaproteobacteria; Moraxellales; Moraxellaceae
Description: bacterial SSU rRNA
Rfam family: Bacterial small subunit ribosomal RNA
Source: RNAcentral
GUCGGAUGUGAAAUCCCCGAGCUUAACUUGGGAAUUGCAUUCGAUACUGGGAAGCUAGAGUAUGGGAGAGGAUGGUAGAAUUCCAGGUGUAGCGGUGAAAUGCGUAGAGAUCUGGAGGAAUACCGAUGGCGAAGGCAGCCAUCUGGCCUAAUACUGACGCUGAGGUACGAAAGCAUGGGGAGCAAACAGGAUUAGAUACCCUGGUAGUCCAUGCCGUAAACGAUGUCUACUAGCCGUUGGGGCCUUUGAGGCUUUAGUGGCGCAGCUAACGCGAUAAGUAGACCGCCUGGGGAGUACGGUCGCAAGACUAAAACUCAAAUGAAUUGACGGGGGCCCGCACAAGCGGUGGAGCAUGUGGUUUAAUUCGAUGCAACGCGAAGAACCUUACCUGGCCUUGACAUACUAGAAACUUUCCAGAGAUGGAUUGGUGCCUUCGGGAAUCUAGAUACAGGUGCUGCAUGGCUGUCGNCAGCUCGUGUCGUGAGAUGUUGGGUUAAGUCCCGCAACGAGCGCAACCCUUUUCCUUACUUGCCAGCAUUUCGGAUGGGAACUUUAAGGAUACUGCCAGUGACAAACUGGAGGAAGGCGGGGACGACGUCAAAUCAUCAUGGCCCUUACGGCCAGGGCUACACACGUGCUACAAUGGUCGGUACAAAGGGUUGCUACACAGCGAUGUGAUGCUAAUCUCAAAAAGCCGAUCGUAGUCCGGAUUGGAGUCUGCAACUCGACUCCAUGAAGUCGGAAUCGCUAGUAAUCGCGGAUCAGAAUGCCGCGGUGAAUACGUUCCCGGGCCUUGUACACAC